AGCUCCAAUAGCGUAUAUUGAAGUUGCUGCGUUUAAAAAGUUCGUAGUUGGAUCUCAGUCUGGAUCGAGCAGUUUGCUGUCACGGCACUGCACGAUCAGACAUCCUGCCGCAUUUUCUCUGCAUUUGUGUGAGAGAAGAGUGGCAUGUUUACUUUGAAAAAAUUAGAGUGCUCAAAGCAGGCUUUCGCCUGAAUAUUCGUGCAAGGAAUAAUGGAAUAGUACCUCGGUUCUAUUUUGUUGGUUUCCGGAACCCGAGGUGAUGAUUAAUAGGGACGGACGGGGGCAUUUGUAUUGCGACGUGAGAGGUGAAAUUCUUAGAUCGUCGCAAGACAAACAAACGCGAAAGCAUUUGCCAAGAAUGUUUUCA
Molecule: ribosomal RNA, 367 nt
Filed under: uncultured eukaryote
Lineage: Eukaryota
Description: SSU rRNA
Rfam family: Eukaryotic small subunit ribosomal RNA
Source: RNAcentral